AGUGAACGCUGGCGGUAGGCCUAACACAUGCAAGUCGAACGGCAGCACAGUAAGAGCUUGCUCUUACGGGUGGCGAGUGGCGGACGGGUGAGGAAUACAUCGGAAUCUACUUUUUCGUGGGGGAUAACGUAGGGAAACUUACGCUAAUACCGCAUACGACCUACGGGUGAAAGCAGGGGAUCUUCGGACCUUGCGCGAUUGAAUGAGACGAUGUCGGAUUAGCUAGUUGGCGGGGUAAAGGCCCACCAAGGCGACGAUCCGUAGCUGGUCUGAGAGGAUGAUCAGCCGCACUGGAACUGAGACACGGUCCAGACUCCUACGGGAGGCAGCAGUGGGGAAUAUUGGACAAUGGGCGCAAGCCUGAUCCAGCCAUACCGCGUGGGUGAAGAAGGCCUUCGGGUUGUAAAGCCCUUUUGUUGGGAAAGAAAAGCAGCAGGUUAAUACCCCGCUGUUCUGACGGUACCCAAAGAAUAAGCACCGGCUAACUUCGUG
RNAcentral lists this ribosomal RNA (492 nucleotides) under uncultured bacterium. Its description in RNAcentral is "partial 16S ribosomal RNA". It matches the Rfam family "Bacterial small subunit ribosomal RNA", at positions 29 to 507 of the family's 1533-position model. The record is from RNAcentral.